This 280-nucleotide ribosomal RNA is filed under the name uncultured bacterium. RNAcentral describes it as "partial 16S ribosomal RNA". It matches the Rfam family "Bacterial small subunit ribosomal RNA", at positions 506 to 784 of the family's 1533-position model. The record is from RNAcentral.
UGCCAGCAGCCGCGGUAAUACGGAGGGUGCAAGCGUUAUCCGGAUUCAUUGGGUUUAAAGGGUAUCGUAGGCGGAUAGAUAAGUUAGUGGUGAAAUCCCGAAGCCCAACUUCGGAACUGCCAUUAAAACUGUUUAUCUUGAAUUUGGUUGAAGUGGGCGGAAUAUGACAUGUAGCGGUGAAAUGCAUAGAUAUGUCAUGGAACACCAAUAGUGAAGACAGCUCACUAAGCCAAUAUUGACGCUGAGGGACGAAGGCAGGGGUAGCGAACGGGAUUAGAUA